CAACAUAAGUUCCUGAUCAGAGUUGGUUCUAAUAGAGAUCCUCCGAUACUCAAGUUAGGAAUCGAUAGAACAGAUGGAAGGAGGUGCAAGAGAGUUGCAUACCUUGGGAGUCCUCUAGUUACCUCUAUUUAUAGAGAUGAUAGCCAUAUGAGAAAAGAAUUUGAGGCCAUUUCGACUCCUUUGGAUGGCCUAUCCUGAGAUCUUUGAUCUGAUUUUUCGAUAUUGAGCAGUUGUAGCUGCUUUAUCUGAUCUGUGGCUAGCUGCUUUCAGAGAUGGUGUGAUUUGAUGAGAUUGCAUGAGAAUUUUCUAUCAAUCUUUUCCAAAUAUGACGAUUGAAGCAGGAAUCGGAGGAAAUGUGGCUCGACGGCGCACCAUGUAUACUGUUAGAGAUGAGGAUCGACGGUGGAUACCUCGAAGCCGACGUGGGGUCAAAACUCAAAACCUGACCGAAGAUUGCUUUGAUGAUGAGAGCAACGGUCGAUCUAUAGAUCGGCAAUUUGAUGUGCACGGAGAU
This 514-nucleotide long non-coding RNA is filed under the name Elaeis guineensis (African oil palm). RNAcentral's name for it is "long non-coding RNA (EGUI_LNC014395)". The record is from RNAcentral. Lineage: Eukaryota; Viridiplantae; Streptophyta; Magnoliopsida; Arecales; Arecaceae.